This 855-nucleotide long non-coding RNA is filed under the name Homo sapiens (human). RNAcentral's name for it is "HSALNT0239994". The record is from RNAcentral. Lineage: Eukaryota; Metazoa; Chordata; Mammalia; Primates; Hominidae.
GAGCAAAUAGGACCUACCUCCCAGGACACCUGGGAGGAUGAAAUGAGAUCACGUGUGUGAAGCUCUUAGCAUGGCGUGGGGGACACAGCAAGUGCAGGGGACGCAGCAACAGUGUGGCGGCUGCUACAUCACGGAGGCUGCACUGGGCAGGUGUUCUGCAUACAUUAAAAUCUAAUUGAAUCCUCACAACAGCUCCACGGAACAGUUGUCAAGGCUGACCCAGAACCUAAGGGAGACAGACCAGAGGGAUAAAUCCAGAGAUAGAAAUGAGGUGUGGGGAGGUAAAAAGGAAGUGACCUGUCCCACAGUGAAUCUGCAGAAAAGCCAGUGAAGACCAGGUGGAUGAAAAUGAGGCUGGGGCCAUGCCCAUGGGGAGAUGUUGGACGAUGCUUGAGUGCAAGAUGGCAGCAGGCCGGGAGAGGCCCAGAAGAGAACUCACCACGCCGUGGGGGUGAGUAGCGGGAGGGACAGCAGCAUGUGCAUCCCCCAAAGGCCUCCAGUUUGUUUGUAAAGUCUCAGGCAGGAAUCUGCCCUUGUGAUCCUGAGGCCUCAUGUUUCAGGGCUCAAAGCUGGCCCUGGGGACAGGAGGUGGCAACUGGUGUCUGACCCCCUAAACCUGGUGCCUCCACUGAUCAACAGACCAGAUAAGGGACAGGUCACCCCCUGACCUUAGGGCCUUGAGGCCCAGGGCGGGGAGUGGGUGGUGGUGCUGCAGUUAGAGGAUCCCAUUCUCAGGACAGUAAACCCUCGAAAGAACUUCUCACCCACUAUUUUCCAAGCUUUAGUCACUUGCAUUCUGCUUUCAUAAUGUUGACCAUUUCCAAGUUCCCUUGUAUUUUUAAACUUAAAAUAAAG